GCGGUGGUCCCACCUGACCCCAUGCCGAACUCAGAAGUGAAACGCCGUAGCGCCGAUGGUAGUGUGGGGUCUCCCCAUGCGAGAGUAGGGAACUGCCAGGCA
RNAcentral lists this ribosomal RNA (102 nucleotides) under Escherichia coli. The record is from RNAcentral. Lineage: Bacteria; Pseudomonadati; Pseudomonadota; Gammaproteobacteria; Enterobacterales; Enterobacteriaceae. RNAcentral also lists the same sequence under 5 other names.